GGCUUAGAGUUUGAUCAUGGCUCAGGAUGAACGCUGGCGGCGUGCCUAACACAUGCAAGUCGAGCGGGGUUGUAUUGGAGCUUGCUUUGAUACAACUUAGCGGCGGACGGGUGAGUAACGCGUGGGUAACCUGCCCUAUACACAGGGAUAACAUUGAGAAAUUAAUGCUAAUACCAGAUAAGCUAACGAUAAGGCAUCUUAUUGAUAGAAAAGCUGAGGCGGUAUAGGAGGGGCCUGCGUCUGAUUAGCUAGUUGGUGGGGUAAAGGCUCACCAAGGCGACGAUCAGUAGCCGACCUGAGAGGGUGAUCGGCCACAGUGGAACUGAGACACGGUCCAAACUCCUACGGGAGGCAGCAGUGGGGAAUAUUGCACAAUGGGGGGAACCCUGAUGCAGCAACGCCGCGUGAAGGAAGAAGUAUUUCGGUAUGUAAACUUCUAUCGACAGGGAAGAAAGAGAUGACGGUACCUGAAUAAGAAGCACCGGCUAAAUACGUGCCAGCAGCCGCGGUAAUACGUAUGGUGCGAGCGUUAUCCGGAUUUACUGGGUGUAAAGGGUGAGUAGGCGGCUAAGCAAGUCAUAUGUGAAAUUCUGGGGCUCAACCUCAGAGCUGCAUAAGAAACUGUUUAACUAGAGUACAGGAGAGGUAAGCGGAAUUCCUAGUGUAGCGGUGAAAUGCGUAGAUAUUAGAGGAACACCGGUGGCGAAGCGGCUUACUGGACUGGAAACUGACGCUGAGUCACGAAAGCGUGGGGAGCGAACAGAUUAGAUACCUGGUAGUCACGCUGUAAACGAUGAGUGCUAGUGUUGGGGAGAGAUUCUCGUGCCGUAGCAACGCAUAAGCACUCCACCUGGGGAGUACGACNNAG
This 868-nucleotide ribosomal RNA is filed under the name uncultured bacterium. Its description in RNAcentral is "bacterial SSU rRNA". It matches the Rfam family "Bacterial small subunit ribosomal RNA", at positions 1 to 890 of the family's 1533-position model. The record is from RNAcentral.